GACGAACGCUGGCGGCGUGCUUAACACAUGCAAGUCGAACGAGAAUCUACUGAAAGAGUUUUCGGACAAUGGAAGUAGAGGAAAGUGGCGGACGGGUGAGUAACGCGUGAGGAACCUGCCUUGAAGAGGGGGACAACAGUUGGAAACGACUGCUAAUACCGCAUGAAGCAUAGGGGUCGCAUGAUUCUUAUGCCAAAGAUUUAUCGCUUCAAGAUGGCCUCGCGUCUGAUUAGCUGGUUGGCGGGGUAACGGCCCACCAAGGCGACGAUCAGUAGCCGGACUGAGAGGUUGAACGGCCACAUUGGGACUGAGAUACGGCCCAGACUCCUACGGGAGGCAGCAGUGGGGAAUAUUGGGCAAUGGGCGCAAGCCUGACCCAGCAACGCCGCGUGAAGGAAGAAGGCUUUCGGGUUGUAAACUUCUUUUAAGAGGGAAGAGCAGAAGACGGUACCUCUAGAAUAAGCCACGGCUAACUACGUGCCAGCAGCCGCGGUAAUACGUAGGUGGCAAGCGUUGUCCGGAUUUACUGGGUGUAAAGGGCGUGCAGCCGGGUCUGCAAGUCAGAUGUGAAAUCCAUGGGCUCAACCCAUGAACUGCAUUUGAAACUGUAGAUCUUGAGUGUCGGAGGGGCAAUCGGAAUUCCUAGUGUAGCGGUGAAAUGCGUAGAUAUUAGGAGGAACACCAGUGGCGAAGGCGGAUUGCUGGACGAUAACUGACGGUGAGGCGCGAAAGUGUGGGGAGCAAACAGGAUUAGAUACCCUGGUAGUCCACACUGUAAACGAU
RNAcentral lists this ribosomal RNA (783 nucleotides) under uncultured bacterium. Its description in RNAcentral is "bacterial SSU rRNA". It matches the Rfam family "Bacterial small subunit ribosomal RNA", at positions 28 to 810 of the family's 1533-position model. The record is from RNAcentral.